UCCGAGUUGUAAUUUGUAGAGGAUGCUUUUGGUGCGGUGCCUUCCGAGUUCCCUGGAACGGGACGCCAUAGAGGGUGAGAGCCCCGUCUGGUUGGACACCAAUCCUCUGUAAAGCUCCUUCGACGAGUCGAGUAGUUUGGGAAUGCUGCUCUAAAUGGGAGGUAUAUGUCUUCUAAAGCUAAAUACCGGCCAGAGACCGAUAGCGCACAAGUAGAGUGAUCGAAAGAUGAAAAGCACUUUGAAAAGAGGGUUAAACAGUACGUGAAAUUGUUGAAAGGGAAGCGCUUGUGACCAGACUUGGGCCCGGUUAAUCAUCCAGCGUUCUCGCUGGUGCACUUGGCCGGCCCAGGCCAGCAUCAGUUCGGCGCGGGGGACAAAGGCUUCGGGAAUGUGGCUCCUCCGGGAGUGUUAUAGCCCGCUGCGUAAUACCCUGCGCUG
This 438-nucleotide ribosomal RNA is filed under the name Fusarium dimerum. RNAcentral's name for it is "eukaryotic LSU rRNA". It matches the Rfam family "Eukaryotic large subunit ribosomal RNA", at positions 137 to 583 of the family's 3401-position model. The record is from RNAcentral. Lineage: Eukaryota; Fungi; Ascomycota; Sordariomycetes; Hypocreales; Nectriaceae.